AACGCGAAGAACCUUACCUACUCUUGACAUCCAGAGAACUUAGCAGAGAUGCUUUGGUGCCUUCGGGAACUCUGAGACAGGUGCUGCAUGGCUGUCGUCAGCUCGUGUUGUGAAAUGUUGGGUUAAGUCCCGCAACGAGCGCAACCCUUAUCCUUUGUUGCCAGCGGUUCGGCCGGGAACUCAAAGGAGACUGCCAGUGAUAAACUGGAGGAAGGUGGGGAUGACGUCAAGUCAUCAUGGCCCUUACGAGUAGGGCUACACACGUGCUACAAUGGCAUAUACAAAGAGAAGCGACCUCGCGAGAGCAAGCGGACCUCAUAAAGUGCGUCGUAGUCCGGAUUGGAGUCUGCAACUCGACUCCAUGAAGUCGGAAUCGCUAGUAAUCGUAGAUCAGAAUGCUACGGUGAAUACGUUCCCGGGUCUUGUACACACCG
Molecule: ribosomal RNA, 434 nt
Filed under: uncultured bacterium
Lineage: Bacteria
Description: bacterial SSU rRNA
Rfam family: Bacterial small subunit ribosomal RNA
Source: RNAcentral